Molecule: transfer RNA, 74 nt
Filed under: Triticum aestivum (bread wheat)
Lineage: Eukaryota; Viridiplantae; Streptophyta; Magnoliopsida; Poales; Poaceae
Also listed under: 2 other names
Description: tRNA-Met (CAT) (tRNA-Met-CAT-12-1, tRNA-Met-CAT-13-1)
Rfam family: tRNA
About the family: Transfer RNA (tRNA) molecules are approximately 80 nucleotides in length. Their secondary structure includes four short double-helical elements and three loops (D, anti-codon, and T loops).
Source: RNAcentral
GGGGUGGUGGCGCAGUUGGCUAGCGCGUAGGUCUCAUAAUCCUGAGGUCGAGAGUUCGAGCCUCUCUCACCCUA